UCGAACGAUGAAGCCCUUCGGGGUGGAUUAGUGGCGAACGGGUGAGUAACACGUGGGCAAUCUGCCCUUCACUCUGGGACAAGCCCUGGAAACGGGGUCUAAUACCGGAUAACACUUCUUCGGGCAUCUGAAGAGGUUAAAAGCUCCGGCGGUGAAGGAUGAGCCCGCGGCCUAUCAGCUUGUUGGUGGGGUAAUGGCCUACCAAGGCGACGACGGGUAGCCGGCCUGAGAGGGCGACCGGCCACACUGGGACUGAGACACGGCCCAGACUCCUACGGGAGGCAGCAGUGGGGAAUAUUGCACAAUGGGCGAAAGCCUGAUGCAGCGACGCCGCGUGAGGGAUGACGGCCUUCGGGUUGUAAACCUCUUUCAGCAGGGAAGAAGCGAAAGUGACGGUACCUGCAGAAGAAGCGCCGGCUAACUACGUGCCAGCAGCCGCGGUAAUACGUAGGGCGCAAGCGUUGUCCGGAAUUAUUGGGCGUAAAGAGCUCGUAGGCGGCUUGUCGCGUCGGAUGUGAAAGCCCGGGGCUUAACCCCGGGUCUGCAUUCGAUACGGGCAGGCUAGAGUGUGGUAGGGGAGAUCGGAAUUCCUGGUGUAGCGGUGAAAUGCGCAGAUAUCAAGAGGAACACCGGUGGCGAAGGCGGAUCUCUGGGCCAUUACUGACGCUGAGGAGCGAAAGCGUGGGGAGCGAACAGGAU
Molecule: ribosomal RNA, 699 nt
Filed under: Streptomyces sp. DE-527
Lineage: Bacteria; Bacillati; Actinomycetota; Actinomycetes; Kitasatosporales; Streptomycetaceae
Description: bacterial SSU rRNA
Rfam family: Bacterial small subunit ribosomal RNA
Source: RNAcentral